RNAcentral lists this non-coding RNA (20 nucleotides) under Arabidopsis thaliana (thale cress). Lineage: Eukaryota; Viridiplantae; Streptophyta; Magnoliopsida; Brassicales; Brassicaceae. The record is from RNAcentral.
UACAUGUGCUUGUUCUGUAU